GACGUAGGGCGCGAGCGUUGUCCGGAUUGAUUGGGCGUAAAGAGCUCGUAGGCGGCUCGUUGCGUCGGCUGUGAAAACCCGCAGCUCAACUGUGGGCCUGCAGCUGAUACGGGCGGGCUGGAGUUCGGUAGGGGAGACUGGAAUUCCCGGUGUAGCGGUGAAAUGCGCAGAUAUCGGGAAGAACACCCGUGGCUAAGGCGGCUCUCUAGUACGGUACUGACGCUGAGACGCGAAAGCGUGGGGAGCGAACAGG
This 253-nucleotide ribosomal RNA is filed under the name uncultured bacterium. RNAcentral describes it as "partial 16S ribosomal RNA". It matches the Rfam family "Bacterial small subunit ribosomal RNA", at positions 524 to 776 of the family's 1533-position model. The record is from RNAcentral.